Molecule: ribosomal RNA, 497 nt
Filed under: uncultured bacterium
Lineage: Bacteria
Description: partial 16S ribosomal RNA
Rfam family: Bacterial small subunit ribosomal RNA
Source: RNAcentral
GAUGAACGCUGGCGGCGUGCCUAAUACAUGCAAGUCGAGCGAACGGACGAUAAGCUUUCUUCUCUGAUGUUAGCGGCGGACGGGUGAGUAACACGUGGAUAACCUACCUAUAAGACUGGGAUAACUUCGUGAAACCGGAUCUAAUACCGGAUAAUAUUUUGAACCGCAUGGUUCAAAAGUGAAAGACGGUCUUGCUGUCACUUAUAGAUGGAUCCGCGCUGCAUUAGCUAGUUGGUAAGGUAACGGCUUACCAAGGCAACGAUGCAUAGCCGACCUGAGAGGGUGAUCGGCCACACUGGAACUGAGACACGGUCCAGACUCCUACGGGAGGCAGCAGUAGGGAAUCUUGCGCAAUGGGCGAAAGCCUGACGGAGCAACGCCGCGUGAGUGAUGAAGGUCUUCGGAUCGUAAAACUCUGUUAUUAGGGAAGAACAUAUGUGUAAGUAACUGUGCACAUCUUGACGGUACCUAAUCAGAAAGCCACGGCUAACUACGUG